This 1252-nucleotide long non-coding RNA is filed under the name Equus caballus (horse). RNAcentral describes it as "lncRNA (ENSECAG00000057500.1)". Lineage: Eukaryota; Metazoa; Chordata; Mammalia; Perissodactyla; Equidae. The record is from RNAcentral.
CUGAAGUCCUACGGAUGGUUGCUAAGUGGCAGCUUCCUACUCUGACCCCUUUGAGGCUGAGCUUGUCCGCCUGAAGGACCUUGAGUUGGAGGUUACCUGGCAUCUGGGUAAUAUUGCUGCCUGAAUCCAGCCUGUCAAGGCUUAUUUCAGCCCCUCCCCCAACCCACACUCAGCUUGGCACCAUCUGCAAAUUUUGAAAACAAAUAUAACACAGUGAUCCUGGUUACGACUGGACCUUAUUUAAAGCUUUGGAGGAAUCUUGAGGAGCAGGAGACUCUCUCUCCCUUGCUGACUUCGAAGAAGCAAGCUGCCAUGUUGAGUGCCGUCACAGGGAGAGGACCACACAGCGAGGAGCUGAGGGCAGCCUCCAGCCAACAGCCCAGAAGAAACUGUGACCCUCAGUCCAGCAACACACACAAGACUGAAUGCUGCCAACAACUAUGGGAGCUUGGAAAGAAAUCCUUCUCCUUUGAACAUUUAGAUGAGAACUCCCCUCUCCUUCCAUCCUCAGAGAGCCCUCCUUUAAUUAUCUAUUGUAUGAAUCUCAAACACCUCGACUUCCAAGGCAAUCCCUUCCCUAACCCAUAGGAUUUGGUUUAAUCUGGUGAUCCGUUGCCAUUUCCCACCUAAGUAACCCCAGAUGAAAUACGCUAAUUCACAAUAAUUUCCUCAAGACUGACUUUCUCAGUUUAAAUAACACCACGGGAAAGUGCAGGGCCUUAGUGGAACGGUCUGGACUGGAUGGACUUUGGCAUUCGUUUGACACCCUCCACUAGGAUGAGCUAAAAAUAGCUCUUGAACAAAACAUGUCUCCCAAGGAUGAGCAAAGUUUCUUGUGGACAAUGUACUUCAGACACAUUUUAAAGAAGAAAAACAUCUUCCUAAAGGCAAUACAAUCCACAAGGAUUUUCCCUAUCCUCGACGGUGACAGACUUUUACUUUAUUAAUCAGAACAGCUUUGCUCCCUACAUGCAAGCUCUAGUGGCAUGCUUUGCAUAGCUGGACAUUGCCAUAAAUAAAAUAGCCUCCAAUGCCAAACGUUAACCCCAGCAGCACGAAGAGUCAGCAGAAGCUAUGAAAUUAAAAUGUUCUUUAACAUGAUCAAACUUUUCAGCCAAGAUUUCUUCCCUGACAAGUCUUUAUAAGUGGAAGGGUUGAAUGACACAGCUUGAUCAUCCCCCGCCCAGAGCAGGUCACCAGAGAAUGUGGGCUAGUUCGUUUUCCAGUUAUACUUUUCACUAAACCGUACCAU